RNAcentral lists this ribosomal RNA (356 nucleotides) under uncultured Pseudomonadota bacterium. RNAcentral's name for it is "bacterial SSU rRNA". It matches the Rfam family "Bacterial small subunit ribosomal RNA", at positions 30 to 371 of the family's 1533-position model. The record is from RNAcentral. Lineage: Bacteria; Pseudomonadati; Pseudomonadota.
AUUGAACGCUGGCGGUAUGCUUAACACAUGCAAGUCGAACGGUAACGACAGAGAGCUUGCUCUCUGGGCGACGAGUGGCGGACGGGUGAGUAAUAUAUAGGAACCUUCCUCAUAGUUUGGGAUAACUACUCGAAAGAGUGGCUAAUACCGGAUGUGGACUACGGUUUAAAGCAGGGAGUCUUCGGACCUUGUGCUAUGAGGUGGGCCUAUACAAGAUUAGCUAGUUGGUGAGGUAAGGGCUCACCAAGGGCGACGAUCUUUAGCUGGUUUGAGAGGGAUGAUCAGCCACACUGGGGACUGAGACACGGGCCCAGACUCCUACGGGGAGGGCAGCAGGUGGGGGGAAUAUUGGGGAC